GCAAACUUGGUCAUUUAGAGGAAGUAAAAGUCGUAACAAGGUCUCCGUUGGUGAACCAGCGGAGGGAUCAUUACCGAGUUCUCCAACUCCUAGAACCCUCGCGAAUUUUACCGUGGUUGCUUCGGCGCGGCGGCCCCGGGGCAAAGCCCCCAACCCGCCCUUGGGCGUGGGUGGGCGGACUUACCCGGACGCAGGCCCCCGCCGGGGGCCCGACAAGAAACUCUCGCGUUUCCCCGCACCUCCCGGCCAGCCCAGGAGCGCGGACCCUCUGAUUAGGCCCCUAAAGGGCAGAGCGAAAAAUGAAUCAAAACUUUCAACAACGGAUCUCUUGGUUCUGGCAUCGAUGAAGAACGCAGC
RNAcentral lists this unclassified non-coding RNA (357 nucleotides) under uncultured fungus. Its description in RNAcentral is "partial contains small subunit ribosomal RNA, internal transcribed spacer 1, and 5.8S ribosomal RNA". The stretch from base 1 to 73 matches the Rfam family "Eukaryotic small subunit ribosomal RNA", at positions 1759 to 1831 of the family's 1831-position model. Lineage: Eukaryota; Fungi. The record is from RNAcentral.